Molecule: ribosomal RNA, 468 nt
Filed under: uncultured bacterium
Lineage: Bacteria
Description: partial 16S ribosomal RNA
Rfam family: Bacterial small subunit ribosomal RNA
Source: RNAcentral
GAUGAACGCUGGCGGCGUGCUUAACACAUGCAAGUCGAACGGAAAGGCCCAAGCUUGCUUGGGUACUCGAGUGGCGAACGGGUGAGUAACACGUGGGUGAUCUGCCCUGCACUUCGGGAUAAGCCUGGGAAACUGGGUCUAAUACCGGAUAGGACCACUUCUUGGAUGUUGUGGUGGAAAGUUUUUCGGUGUGGGAUGAGCUCGCGGCCUAUCAGCUUGUUGGUGGGGUAAUGGCCUACCAAGGCGUCGACGGGUAGCCGGCCUGAGAGGGUGUACGGCCACAUUGGGACUGAGAGACGGCCCAGACUCCUACGGGAGGCAGCAGUGGGGAAUAUUGCACAAUGGGCGCAAGCCUGAUGCAGCGACGCCGCGUGGGGGAUGACGGCCUUCGGGUUGUAAACUCCUUUCGCUAGGGACGAAGCUUAUUUUGUGACGGUACCUGGAGAAGAAGCACCGGCUAACUACGUG